GGCGGAUGUAGCCAAGUGGACAAGGCAGU
This 29-nucleotide transfer RNA is filed under the name Adenophora remotiflora. Its description in RNAcentral is "partial tRNA-His". Lineage: Eukaryota; Viridiplantae; Streptophyta; Magnoliopsida; Asterales; Campanulaceae. The record is from RNAcentral. RNAcentral also lists the same sequence under 7 other names.